CAUUUUCCAAACUGUCUGCCUGCUCCUCCAGUCCCUGUGAGGUUAUGAAAAGCAGAAACUCUGUCAUCUGCAUCGUGUUUAUAGCUCCUACAGUACCUACUUUGGAAUCAUCUGCAUUUGCUGCAAACCAUAAACACAGAGACCUGGACUUAAAGUUUGACAUCAGAGACAUCACAAAUCACAGGAUAACCUCAUUCUGAACAGAUGUAUAUGUUUAGAUAUGGGCAGAUGCAUACAACCACAGACAGAUGACAAGGCAUAGAUAGAACACAUACACAAUCACACAAGGAGGCAGUGUCUUAAACAAAGUAAUCACAGGGUUCCAGAGGAGGCAGGUGGGUGAGAAGAAUGAAGAGAGCUCCCAAAAUAAGAUAUGACUACAGAAAAAAAAAAAAAGAGGGAGAGAGAUGACGACAUCAUUGGAUCUAUGAGACUGUCUAUUUUUAGUGGCCUAAAGAAGACUCUCUCCCGUGACCUUGCCAAAUUAUGAUGCAAACAGAGUUAAUGAAAGCUCUCUCAAGCUUCUCUUCGAAGUCAGCUCAUUACCAGAUCAUUUCUGCACACUCAUCGCCCAAAACCCUGUAACCUCAUUAAAGAACUAAUCCUAA
This is a long non-coding RNA of Gorilla gorilla gorilla (western lowland gorilla), 608 nucleotides long. RefSeq lists it as uncharacterized. NCBI's taxonomy places the organism in Eukaryota, Metazoa, Chordata, Mammalia, Primates, Hominidae. The transcript has 3 exons. The record is from RefSeq and is a predicted model, not a curated record.